GGAGGGGCAAUCCGAAGGCUGGCGACGGAGACUGUCUUGAAAACAGUUGAGCCCGAGAGGGUCUUAAGGGUUCGAUCCCCUUCCCCUCCGCCA
Molecule: transfer RNA, 93 nt
Filed under: Planctomycetota bacterium
Lineage: Bacteria; Pseudomonadati; Planctomycetota
Description: Planctomycetes bacterium (groundwater metagenome) tRNA-Ser
Rfam family: tRNA
About the family: Transfer RNA (tRNA) molecules are approximately 80 nucleotides in length. Their secondary structure includes four short double-helical elements and three loops (D, anti-codon, and T loops).
Source: RNAcentral